UUUAAAUUUAGAGUUUGAUCCUGGCUCAGGACGAACGCUGGCGGCGUGCUUAACACAUGCAAGUCGAGCGAUGAAGCUUUCUUCGGGAAGUGGAUUAGCGGCGGACGGGUGAGUAACACGUGGGUAACCUGCCUCAAAGUGGGGGAUAGCCUUCCGAAAGGAAGAUUAAUACCGCAUAAUAUAGGAGAAUCGCAUGAUUUUCUUAUCAAAGAUUUAUUGCUUUGAGAUGGACCCGCGGCGCAUUAGCUAGUUGGUAAGGUAACGGCUUACCAAGGCAACGAUGCGUAGCCGACCUGAGAGGGUGAUCGGCCACAUUGGAACUGAGACACGGUCCAGACUCCUACGGGAGGCAGCAGUGGGGAAUAUUGCGCAAUGGGGGAAACCCUGACGCAGCAACGCCGCGUGGGUGAUGAAGGUCUUCGGAUUGUAAAGCCCUGUUUUCUGGGACGAUAAUGACGGUACCAGAGGAGGAAGCCACGGCUAACUACGUGCCAGCAGCCGCGGUAAUACGUAGGUGGCGAGCGUUGUCCGGAUUUACUGGGCGUAAAGGGUGCGUAGGCGGAUGUUUAAGUGGGAUGUGAAAUCCCCGGGCUUAACCUGGGGGCUGCAUUCCAAACUGGAUAUCUAGAGUGCAGGAGAGGAAAGCGGAAUUCCUAGUGUAGCGGUGAAAUG
RNAcentral lists this ribosomal RNA (672 nucleotides) under Clostridium botulinum. RNAcentral describes it as "bacterial SSU rRNA". It matches the Rfam family "Bacterial small subunit ribosomal RNA", at positions 1 to 688 of the family's 1533-position model. Lineage: Bacteria; Bacillati; Bacillota; Clostridia; Eubacteriales; Clostridiaceae. The record is from RNAcentral.